UACAGAGGGUGCGAGCGUUAAUCGGAAUUACUGGGCGUAAAGCGCACGUAGGUGGGCGAGUAAGUUGUUGGUAAAAAGCCUGGGCUUAACCUGGGUCGGCCCAGCAAAACUGUUUGUCUAGAGUGUAUUAGAGGGAAGUGGAAUUUCCGGUGUAGCAGUGAAAUGCGUAGAUAUCGGAAGGAACACCAGUGGCGAAGGCGACUUCCUGGAAUACCACUGACACUGAGGUGCGAAAGCGUGGGGAGCAAACAGG
This 253-nucleotide ribosomal RNA is filed under the name uncultured bacterium. RNAcentral's name for it is "partial 16S ribosomal RNA". It matches the Rfam family "Bacterial small subunit ribosomal RNA", at positions 524 to 776 of the family's 1533-position model. The record is from RNAcentral.